GAUGAAGAACGUAGCGAAAUGCGAUACGUAAUGUGAAUUGCAGAAUUCAGUGAAUCAUCGAGACUUUGAACGCACAUUGCGCCCCCUGGUAUUCCGGGGGGCAUGCCUGUCCGAGCGUCAUUGCUGCCCUCAAGCACGGCUUGUGUGUUGGGCCUCCGUCCUCCUCCCGGGGGACGGGCCCGAAAGGCAGCGGCGGCACCGCGUCCGGUCCUCGAGCGUAUGGGGCUUCGUCACCCGCUCUUGUAGGCCCGGCCGGCGCUUGCCGACACAUCAAUCUUUUUUCCAGGUUGACCUCGGAUCAGGUAGGGAUACCCGCUGAACUUAAGCAUAUCAAUAGCGGAGGA
Molecule: unclassified non-coding RNA, 344 nt
Filed under: soil metagenome
Description: partial contains 5.8S ribosomal RNA, internal transcribed spacer 2, and large subunit ribosomal RNA
Rfam family: 5.8S ribosomal RNA (bases 1-120)
Source: RNAcentral